GUGAGUCUCCAAGCGCCACAAGGAGGGGGGCUACCGGGAGGGAGAGGCCGGGGCCCACUGGGAGCCCCCAAACCCGUGCCGUUUGCGGGUUUUCCUCCUAAAGUCCUGGCUGCCAAAAGGCACCCGUGGGCCAGGAACUAGAGGCGCUGCGAUGAAUCUGAUGAAUCCGUGGGAGGAGAUGGAGAAAAGAGAACCCAGCUCAGACCCUGGUGCCAUCUCUGCAGGGGAGAGGGGGGUCCUCGCCCCAGGGAGGGCAGGAGUGAGUGAUAACGCUGAGUCCCAGGCUGGGGGCCAGGUUGAGGAAGCAGGGGGCUCAGGGCAGACAAACUUUCGGGGGAUCGGUCCUCCAAAGCUCCCCUGCGCCGCAUGCCUGGAGGAGACCGCCCAGAGAGGAGCCAGGGCAGCCUGGCUGCCAGCUGAGCUUUCUCCCAUCCUGGAUCUCAGGAGGUCAACAGGAGAGACCGUCUCCUCUCAUCCCAAGGCUGCUGGGGGCGCAGUCCCACAGGCUCUGUGAUGGCCCUGCACGUCACAGAUUACGGCGCAUUUUCUUACCCGUCAGGAGAUCCUCCCAACCAUUCUGAGGAUGGGACUAGAUAACAAGCCCAUUUUACAGAUGGGGAAACUGAGGCCCCAGGAGGCAAAGGGACAGAGAAGACAGCUUGUUUAGAGAGGCUCUUUAUAUUUGCUCAUCCUGUUGAUCAUCAUCUGUCCACUCACCUGGUCAAGACUCUACAGGCCAGGCUAUGUACCCAAGGAGCUCAAGGGUUAGGGGUGGAAGAAAGACUUUCCCAGGUCAGACGGAUGACGGAUGACGGUGGCGGUUGCAGAGCAAUGAGAAUGGACUCGGGGCCACUGACGUGUACAGUUAAACAUGGUUAAUAUAGUAUGUUUUAUAUUCUGUGACUUGUACCACAGUAAAAAAAGAAAAAGUCUUUCCCCGGUCACCUCUGCCCUAAAUUCAGACUAGGCGUUAAGAGGAACAUGUUAUCAUGCUAAGCAACCACAUUU
This is a long non-coding RNA of Bos taurus (domestic cattle), 1008 nucleotides long. The record is from Ensembl. NCBI's taxonomy places the organism in Eukaryota, Metazoa, Chordata, Mammalia, Artiodactyla, Bovidae.